This is a long non-coding RNA of Tachyglossus aculeatus (Australian echidna), 1170 nucleotides long. RefSeq lists it as uncharacterized. The record is from RefSeq and is a predicted model, not a curated record. The transcript has 2 exons. Lineage: Eukaryota; Metazoa; Chordata; Mammalia; Monotremata; Tachyglossidae.
AGGCGCCGUAAACAAAGCUGACCCGUUGCGGACCCCGGAGUAGGGUGGGGCCAACGCCUCCCCCUCCCCAAAUCUCCCCCUUCCCCUUCCUCCUCCUCCUCCUCCUCCUCCUGAUGGCCCCCCGGCCUGACCCGCCCGCAGACUCCCUGGUCAAGCGGAAGAGGCCUGCGGACCCCAAGACGGCCGGAGACCCCCUGGAAGGCGCCCCCGGACCCCCCGCCCCCAAAGAGAAGACCCCCAGGAAGAGGCUCCGGUGAGCGAGGUUGGCGUUCGAAGCUGUGGGAAUCGAGUCCAGGCGCGGCCUUGGCGUCACCCAGAAAGGAGGGCCCAGUCCAGCCUAGUUGGGCCUGGUCCGGCCAGUCUGCUCCAGUCCGGCCCAGUCCGGCCCAGUCUGGACCAGUGCGGCCCGGCCUGCCCCAGUCAGGCCCGGCCUAGUCAGCCUGGUCCGGCCAGUGUGCCCCAGUCCUGCCCAGUCUGGACAAGUGCGGCCCAGCCUAGUCAGCCUGGUCCGGCCAGUGUGCCCCAGUCCUGCCCAGUCUGGACCAGUGUGGCCCAGUCUGUGUGGGAAGGACCCGACUCCUGACCUGGAUGUAGCAAACCGGUGGCCUCAGCUCGCCGAGCAGUGUUAAAAGCUGACACCAAUUGUGCAAUGUAUUUGAGGUUUCUCUCUGAUCCAGAAACGUCACGUAAGUACUCUUCCCGUCAUCUCUGGGUGAACACUGGCUUUCAGAGUGCAAAGCUUUAAGAGUCUUUUAUAUAAAAUGUUUAAUCACCCUCGAACUCAGUGCAAAAAAAAGAAAAAAAAAUGUAUAUCUGUACAAAGGUGGGGUUUUUUUAAAGUUAUACUAACUUAUAUUUCUAUUUAUGUUGGAAUCCCGGAGAACGGUGGGAACGUUCCUAGUUCAGUUAUUUGGGUUAUGCCAAAGGAUGCUAUUACCUGCUUCUGUUUAUUUACAAAAUGUAAAUUUAUUUUUAUAGUGGGGGAUUUUUUUUGUUGUCGUCGUUUUGUUUCUGCAUUCGCCUGAUGUAGCUGUGACUCCAACGUUUUGAAGGUUGUUUGUUUUUUACUUGAAGACAGUUCUCUCCCCAGGCACUCCUUGUGUUCAUCCGUUCCCCCUCUCUGCUGUCGCAAUAACGCCACAAAUUUCAAAUAAAAAAAGUCCAAAAAUA